This is a long non-coding RNA of Chenopodium quinoa (quinoa), 877 nucleotides long. RefSeq lists it as uncharacterized. The record is from RefSeq and is a predicted model, not a curated record. The transcript is spliced from 2 exons. Lineage: Eukaryota; Viridiplantae; Streptophyta; Magnoliopsida; Caryophyllales; Amaranthaceae.
CAUGCCAGGGUAUGUGUAUACUGUAUACGCAUGUUUGAAGAAACUUAAUACUUGUGAGAAUUUUUUGGCUUGAAGGCUACGUGUUAUCUCCUUAUGUGUGUCCUUGUGCUGUGCUAAUGGAGAGGCACUAGACUCGUUUUCAUGGACGGUGUUCCUCAGAGUCUCAGACAUAGGCUAUUGGGGGGGGGGGGGGGUUAGCUGGGUUGUCCCUGUUACUGUUUUUGGUCACAAUCAGGCGCAGUAUAAAAAAAAUUUAAGCAAUGUACGGGGGCAUUAAUUUUCUGCACCGUUUUGUUUUUUUUUUUUUAUGGGAGAAGAAUGAUAAGGAAAUUCUUGGUAUAAAUUUUGGCAUCUUUACAGACUUACAGUUUUUAGCUUCUCUUAGGUGCACACUUCUAACAAUUUUCCUAAUGUGUCCCUUCCAGAAAUAAUGGUGGCAACUUAAUUAGUUCACCUACAGUGCAUGAAUCUGGUGCUUUUGAUUCCAGAAUACUUUUGACUACUACUUAUUUCUAUUUCUUGUUGGUUAUUUAGCUAGUACUUUGUUAUAUUUCGGGGUGCUAUUUUGUUUUUCAGACUUGGAAUGCUUAUCUUUUGGUGCAUGGGGAGUCAAAUGGAGCGGAAGUAUAGUGACUAGCCAUCUAACAAAUGGUGCAUAUAUGUUGGCGACUCUUAUUCAAGUUCCGGCUUUGUGAAGAUUUGGAUAUUUCGGCUUAUGUAUAUGUUGACAAUUUGUAUUUUGGACGAUCAAAUUAAUUAUCUAACUUUUAUUUAUUAUUAGUAGGGUAUGUCAUACCAAAAAUAGGCAAGUAAUAUCUUGUAAUGUACGUAUUUUGCAUUAUAAUUAUUAUAUAUAAAUGAUACUUUAAUUUGUUUA